This 1023-nucleotide long non-coding RNA is filed under the name Callithrix jacchus (white-tufted-ear marmoset). RNAcentral describes it as "lncRNA (ENSCJAG00000055520.2)". Lineage: Eukaryota; Metazoa; Chordata; Mammalia; Primates; Cebidae. The record is from RNAcentral.
CCGACUUCCCUCUGGCCAGGCUGGGGCCGCCGUCGCGGCCGCUGACUUCCCUGUGGCCGCGCCGGGUUGGCCGUGGCUGCAGCCACCGCCGCAGCCACCGCCGCAGCCGCCGCCGCCUCCGCCGACUUCUCGAGGGCAGCCGCUGCCUUCUCUCUGGCCUGGCCGGGCCGGGCGGGCUUCCGUAGGGGCACACACGCUGACAGGCACUCGCCUCAAGGCUGAAGCACCACACCCUCUUAAAGGGGCCGCAGCUCAGCCUGACUAGAAUAGCUUUGGGUUGGAUGAGAACAAGUUUUAGGUUAGCUAAUCAGACCAUAGAAAUAAAGCCCAAUUAGAGUAGACCUUGAAGUUUGCUCUCAUCCAAUCUGAACAUGUAGUCUAGGAACCCUGUAUAUAAAGGAUGGCAAGCGGGAGUCUUGCCAUUUCAGACGUGGGGCCCACCUGCUCUGACCUGGCUUCGAGGAGAAGUGGGAGUAGCCAGCCACCGCCCAUGCUGGAGGCUAGAGUCUGCCAUGUCUGCUCGGCUCGCCUCGCUGUUGCAGUUGUUGGCACUGAGGGAGACUACAGCGCAGCUAGAAAGCUUCUUAAACAUGCUAAGUUCACUCCUAUUGACAACUGAAUGCAAUGUGGGAUCCUGGAUUAGAUCUUAGCCCAGAAUAGGUCUUCAGUGGAAGAACUGGCAAAAUUUGAAUAAGGUCUCUGGUUUCGUGAAUGGUAGUGUAUUGAUGUUCAUUUCCUGCUUUUGAUCAUUGGAGUGAUAGUGAGAUGUUAACAUUUGGGAAAACACAAAGAAAGGCAAAUGGACAUCUCUACUAUUUUUGUAACUUUUGUAAGUUAAAAUUGUUUCAAAAUGAGUUAAAAAUGAAAAGGAAGUUUUCUCUUUCAGCUGGGAAAAUGGCAAUGAAUUAAUAAGAAAUUAACGGUGAAGUGAUGACUCAAAUUCUACAUUGCUCCGAAAGCAAGUAAGAAAAUCAGUGGUUAUAGAGAAGUUCUUACAUGAAGUAAUAAAAAUAAAAAUUAUUA